This 410-nucleotide ribosomal RNA is filed under the name uncultured Gemmata sp. RNAcentral's name for it is "bacterial SSU rRNA". It matches the Rfam family "Bacterial small subunit ribosomal RNA", at positions 355 to 774 of the family's 1533-position model. Lineage: Bacteria; Pseudomonadati; Planctomycetota; Planctomycetia; Gemmatales; Gemmataceae. The record is from RNAcentral.
UCGAGGAUCUUCGGCAAUGGGCGAAAGCCUGACCGAGCGAUGCCGCGUGCGCGAUGAAGGCCUUCGGGUUGUAAAGCGCGAAAGAGGGGAGAAAAGCCCGAAAGGGCCUGAUCUAUCCUCAGUAAGCUCGGGCUAAGUUCGUGCCAGCAGCCGCGGUAAGACGAACCGAGCGAACGUUGUUCGGAAUCACUGGGCUUAAAGGGCGCGUAGGCGGGCUGUCAAGUCUGGGGUGAAAUCCCGCGGCUCAACCGUGGAACUGCCUCAGAUACUGACGGUCUCGAGGGGGAUAGGGGCGAGCGGAACUGUGAGUGGAGCGGUGAAAUGCGUUGAUAUUCACAGGAACUCCGGUGGCGAAGGCGGCUCGCUGGAUCUCUUCUGACGCUGAGGCGCGAAAGCUAGGGGAGCAAACG